UGCAACCUGAGCUCAGGCGUGAUUACCCGCUGAACUUAAGCAUAUCAUUU
This 50-nucleotide ribosomal RNA is filed under the name Haemonchus contortus (barber pole worm). RNAcentral describes it as "partial 28S ribosomal RNA". The record is from RNAcentral. RNAcentral also lists the same sequence under 7 other names. Lineage: Eukaryota; Metazoa; Nematoda; Chromadorea; Rhabditida; Trichostrongylidae.